GGAGGAGUGUCCGAGUGGUCGAAGGAGGCGGUCUUGAAAACCGCUAGACCGAAAGGUCUCGUGGGUUCGAAUCCUACCUCCUCCGCCA
Molecule: transfer RNA, 88 nt
Filed under: Bacillota bacterium
Lineage: Bacteria; Bacillati; Bacillota
Description: Firmicutes bacterium (anaerobic digester metagenome) tRNA-Ser
Rfam family: tRNA
About the family: Transfer RNA (tRNA) molecules are approximately 80 nucleotides in length. Their secondary structure includes four short double-helical elements and three loops (D, anti-codon, and T loops).
Source: RNAcentral